This is a long non-coding RNA of Bos taurus (domestic cattle), 948 nucleotides long. Lineage: Eukaryota; Metazoa; Chordata; Mammalia; Artiodactyla; Bovidae. The record is from Ensembl.
UAUGGACUGUAGCCCGCCAGGCUCCUCUGUCCCUGGGAGUCUCCCGACCCGGCUCUCCCGCGUUGCAGGUGGAUUAAAGAACGAAAGCCAUGGUACAAUACACAAAAGCCAAUGGAUCCAGCUACUGGGUUGCCAGACAGCCAGACCCAAUCCCCUGCUACCUGACACCAGCCCGUGACCCUGCAAGACCAACUCCAGAGGAGGAAGAACACAAGAUCCUUACGCCACUGAUUUUCAUCACUGCCCUCUGACCACGCGCCCUCAUCUGUAUGAUCCCCCAGACUCCUCAUGGAGGGGGCUCCAGCUCCUGAGGACACGUGCCUGCUGAGUCUCCCCUCUGCUGGCUGGGGACUAAAGCCACCUUUCCGUCUCCUCCAAACUCUGUCUCUGUAUUUUUCGUUUGGCUUCGGUGCACAGACAAGGCCAAGAUGUUGGUGGCAUCACACUCAUCACUAGAUGAUGCUGAGAGCAAAGCUUUGGUGCCAGGAGACCAGCUGCACACCGAGUGUUCACACUGCAUACGUGUGACCAACUUGAGAAGCCUCACGGCUGCAUGGCCGCGCCUUCGGGUCAUUUCACUGCCGCACCACACCCUUGGCCUGUACAGAGCUCAUACACAUUUAAGUCGACUCCCAGGACCCUUGGAGUUGACGUUUUCUCUGAAAACAAUUGAAAAAUGAGCAUGUUGCCGUGGGUUGCUGCGAGCACCAGGGCCUGGUGCACCCAGCUGGGCUGCCAGGCAGGCCUGCAGGGAAGGCAUGUUCCCCUCCGGCUGAUUCCGAGCUGUCAGCAGACACGUGACUCCUGCUCACACGCCCCGGGCGGGAAGUCCUGCCUGCUGUGGGCCGGCCCUGAGGUCUGGGAAGGGGUGGCUCCUGUGCGUCCACCGCUGCGGACAGGGAGGGCGGCGGUGAUUUCUGCUGCUUCAGAAAGUGGGGCCCUUUGCAG